UUUCAGAGUCUUAUUGUCUUCAGGAGUUCGGGCAGGGGUAUGGAGAGUGUUUACAACUUGACAGGGAGAAAUUACAUGAACAUUAUUGCCUUAGAGAACACAGUAAUUAAAAAGAAUUUCGGUAAAAUACCUUGCAACACAAAAUUUUUUGCUUCAAAAGACAUAGGUUGUGAGGCUGUGAGCUUGCAUUAUUUCAAUUUUCAUUUCUAUUGUCACGAGCACCUAGUUGGCCAGGUACAUUGUGAGAACUGCUGAAAGCUGAAAUUGGCUGAAAUUAUGUGAAAACAUUUAGUCAAGAAUGCACUAAGAAUCAUUAGCGUAAGAUUGUGUGAUCUAUUACUAAAAAAUAGUUAACUUAUUAUCCGAUCUACGUUUUUUAACUUUUUAAUUUGUUUUGAAAUUUGAAGUAACGAACGAAGUGUCAUACUGUCAUGUGCAACUAACUAAAGAUUCAAAACUCAUUACUAGAUGUCGCCAAUGUCGCCCUUGUUGUUCUUACAUCGUGAAACGAAGAAAAAUGGAGGAAACAAUUGGUUGCUAAUUUAUACUUAUAUUCCUGUGAUUUCAAAUACCGAAUUUAACUUCAUAUCAAAUAUGCAUACUGUCAGUCUGUCAUUCAUUCCAAGUAGCGCUCAGUCAAUUUCCAUCCAUUAGAUCCUCAUGCUGUCAAAAGCCUAAAACUCAUGUUUGAAGCCCACAUAUAGUGGAAUACAAAUGUGCUGAGAAAAGGUAUUCUUGUUCAUGAACCAUAGGACUUUUCUGAAUCUCACAAUUUUGGUGGUGUAUUAACCUGCAACAUUAUGUUUGCUCUUAAGGCUGUUUCUACUUCUGUUUAGAAGGCAACCCAGCUGAGAGAUAGAGUUUCAGUGACAUGAAGAUUGUGAUGUGAAUAAUGCCGUGUGUAUGCAUACAUGUUCCUUCCAGUUCUGCUUGAUGCCUUACUAAAUUCGUCACCCAUAUGAUAAAGCAUCAGAAAAUUUAUCUAAACAUGUGGAGAAAUGCUGUUGGUUGCUGUGAAUUCCAUUUUUACGGCUUUUUUCAUAAUGAAUAUUGCAGUCUGCUUCUUAGAAAAGAGCACGUAAGAGAUCCUUAAGCCAAUGCUGUUCAUUGUCCAUGACGGAAGAGGGACUUCCACCUACGUUCUUUUACAUCCUUAUCUUCCCGACGUACGCUCAUCCAGCUUCACUGCUUCACUGCUUCUUAUAUGCUGCAAAACCACUUUUCUUGCUUCACUGGCGAGGCUGAUCACUUCAGUUGCUGUGACACACCUGCAAUCACUCACCACGGGAUUACGGCCAGGUAAUGCAGAGGUGACGUCAAGAAGAUGGAUUUUCUCAUCUUUAACAGUCGUCACCGGUCUCCGUCGGAUGUUCCCCCUGCUCCUGGUGCAAACGAAACUCAGUCGAAUCGCGACCGAUACCGAGACUCGUCAUCAACGUGGAUUAUCGUAUUAUUGGUAUUAUUUCGUUUGUGUUAAGUGUUAGUUAACCCGUUGGCUGCCACGCCUUUGUUCUCCCCUUCACGGGCCGUGCUGUUCGGUCUCGUGGUUUACAAGCCGGGGGAUCGGAAAGUCGCCAAGCCCAAAAUUUGCCGCAUGGUGCCUGUUAUAAGGCAAUGUGCCUUAGUCCCCCCCGUUGUCAGCACGGACUUGUCAGCAAUGGCAAGUCCCACCUUGGUCAUAAAUACU
Molecule: long non-coding RNA, 1687 nt
Organism: Daphnia pulicaria
Lineage: Eukaryota; Metazoa; Arthropoda; Branchiopoda; Diplostraca; Daphniidae
Exons: 7
Source: RefSeq, a predicted model, not a curated record